RNAcentral lists this long non-coding RNA (241 nucleotides) under Mytilus galloprovincialis (Mediterranean mussel). The record is from RNAcentral. Lineage: Eukaryota; Metazoa; Mollusca; Bivalvia; Mytilida; Mytilidae.
AUAAAACAAGAAUGUGUCCAAAGUACACGGAUGCCCCACUCCCGCUAUCAUUUUCCAUGUUCAAUGGACCGUGAAAUUGGAUAAAAAAUAUAAUAAGGCAUUAAAAUUAGAAAGAUAAUAUCAUAGGGAACAUUUGUACUAAGUUUCAAGUUGAUUGGACUUCAACUUCAUCAAAAACUACCUUGACCAAAAACUUUAACCUGAAACAUGCACUUUCAUUUUCUAUGUUCAGUGGACCGUG